This 582-nucleotide ribosomal RNA is filed under the name uncultured bacterium. Its description in RNAcentral is "bacterial SSU rRNA". It matches the Rfam family "Bacterial small subunit ribosomal RNA", at positions 57 to 682 of the family's 1533-position model. The record is from RNAcentral.
GCAGUCGAACGAGACCUUCGGGUCUAGUGGCGCACGGGUGAGUAACGCGUGGAAACCUACCAUUCUGUACGGAAUAACAAUUGGAAACGAUCGCUAAUACCGUAUACGCCCUGUGGGGGAAAGGUCCGCCGCAGAAUGAGGGGUCCGCGUCCGAUUAGCUUGUUGGUGGGGUAAAAGCCUACCAAGGCGAUGAUCGGUAGCUGGUCUGAGAGGAUGAUCAGCCACACUGGGACUGAGACACGGCCCAGACUCCUACGGGAGGCAGCAGUGGGGAAUAUUGGACAAUGGGGGCAACCCUGAUCCAGCAAUGCCGCGUGUGUGAAGAAGGCCUUAGGGUUGUAAAGCACUUUCAAUGGUGAAGAUGAUGACGGUAGCCGUAGAAGAAGCCCCGGCUAACUUCGUGCCAGCAGCCGCGGUAAUACGAAGGGGGCGAGCGUUGUUCGGAAUUACUGGGCGUAAAGGGCGCGCAGGCGGCCAAUCCAGUCAGGUGUGAAAGCCCCGGGCUUAACCUGGGAACUGCACUUGAUACUGAUUGGCUAGAAAACGGGAAGAGAGGCAGUGGGAAUUUCCCAGUGUAGAGGU